Molecule: ribosomal RNA, 406 nt
Filed under: uncultured Glomeromycotina
Lineage: Eukaryota; Fungi; Glomeromycota
Description: SSU rRNA
Rfam family: Eukaryotic small subunit ribosomal RNA
Source: RNAcentral
AGCAGCCGCGGUAAUUCCAGCUCCAAUAGCGUACAUUAAAGUUGUUGCAGUUAAAAAGCUCGUAGUUGAAUUUCGGGAUCAGUACGCUGGUCAUGCCUUUGGUAUGCACUGGUGUCACUGGUUUCUCCCUUCUGAAGAUCCGUGAUGUCAUUAAUUUGGUGUCGCGGGGAAUCAGGACUGUUACUUUGAAAAAUUAGAGUGUUUAAAGCAGGCUCACGCUUGAAUACAUUAGCAUGGAAUAAUGAAAUAGGACGUUUGACCCUAUUUUGUUGGUUCUAGGAUCGACGUAAUGAUUAAUAGGGAUAGUUGGGGGCAUUAGUAUUCAAUUGUCAGAGGUGAAAUUCUUGGAUUUAUUGAAGACUAACUACUGCGAAAGCAUUUGCCAAGGAUGUUUUCAUUAAUCAAG